GGGAGUUGGUAGAGCAGUUGACUUUUAAUCAAUUGGUCGCAGGUUCGAAUCCUGCACGACCCACCA
Molecule: transfer RNA, 66 nt
Filed under: Klebsiella pneumoniae
Lineage: Bacteria; Pseudomonadati; Pseudomonadota; Gammaproteobacteria; Enterobacterales; Enterobacteriaceae
Description: tRNA-Ser
Rfam family: tRNA
About the family: Transfer RNA (tRNA) molecules are approximately 80 nucleotides in length. Their secondary structure includes four short double-helical elements and three loops (D, anti-codon, and T loops).
Source: RNAcentral